ACCACAGAUAAUCAAGAAUGACCAAAGCAACAUAAAAAUGACUGGAUACUUCCACAAGUUCAGUGAAGACCAUCCUAUGGAGAAAGAAGGAAGAUUCUCUGUGUCACUGAGACAUUUGAAAGGAGAGGGCUUUUCUCAGUUUCUUUAGAAGACUAGUCAAGUGACAGUCAAAGUGCAGUUUUUAGAGAUUUUGAACUUGAAGUUAUAGCUCUUGAAAAGUUCAUAAAAUAUCUAAUUUGGAGAAAAAAUAUAGAUAUGAAUGAUAGAUAUGAUUUUGAGAGAGUGGGGAAGAAGAAUGCAAAGCUUCAUGGUCAUUUUUUUUUUGUCCAUGUAGCACCUGUAAAUGAAAGAAAUUAGCAAACUAAUAAAAAUUGAUUGAACAUUGCUUUUAGGAUAAUUUUGGGUGUACAAAUAUGACAGUGAUUUCGGAGGCACUUGUUUACUUAACCACUACAUGAAAAGGCCGAUGUUGUAAAGAAGAGGUCAGAUAAUUCUUCUUGCUGUGGUCAGGAUGAGGUAUUUAAAUGAAAUAAUAGAAUGAUUUCUUAGAAAUUUUCUCAGAAAAUUCCCAUUCGACUUGGCAACAAGAUAUUAGAACCAAAAGUGAAGGAAGGGAAACAAAGAUUGUCUAGGAGGGUAGUUUGGCAAGAUUAUGUGAAAAAACAGAUCGCUGUUUAACAGAAACUUCUUUCAAGGUUCACAUGUGGAAGGGUCUACCCGGCCUCACAGGUAUGUGGCGAGCAACCUGCUCUGUCAACAGCACAGAGGUGCUGAGCCAGGUGUUUAACAUAAAUUAUCUCAUUUGUUUGCUCUGACAACAUAAUAAGGAAAGUUCAAGAAGCACAUGUUUUGCACAUAAGGAAGUAUAUUUCUUUCUUUAUCUCCUGGCCAUUUGAGGAUAGUUUGAUUUCAAGGUCAUUUCUGUUUUAGUCAUCUUUUUCAUCACUGACCAGAAGACCUGUCAAAAACAGCAUGGAGGAGGAAAAGUUUAUUUGGGGCUCACAGUUUCAAAGGUCGUUGUCCAUAAAUGGCCAAUUCUACUGCUCUGGGCCCAGGGUGAGAUAGAACAUCACCACCAAAGAGAGUGGCAGAGGAAAGCAACUCAGGACACGAUCACCAGCAAACGGAGAGAGACUAUUCUGCUCAACAAGGACAAAAUAUCAACCCCAAAGACAUGUCUGAGUGACCCACUUUCUCCAGCCACACCCUACGUGCUCAUAAUUACCACCCAGUUAAUUCCUAUUGGAGGAUCAAUGCACUGAUUGGGUUAAGGCUCCCUUGACCCAAUCAUUUCACCUCUAAGCUUUCUUGCAUUGCCUCACACAUGAGCUUCUGGGGGACACACCAUAUCUGAACUGUAACAAGGUCCUUCUCUUUAACAGAAGUUGUACUUGUUUGUUUUAUAUUAUGGAGGCAUAGGCUGUACUAUUUAUCAUUGUUUUCCAAAUGUCUAGCAGAGCUUGAGGAAUUAGUGGGAAUGUCAUGGUGUGCUCCAUGAAUGUAUGAAGAUUGUGUUUUUCAUUCUCAUAAUCUUGUUUUUUAAUGUAGGAGCUAGCUAUCCUUGCUGCUUUAGAUCACAGUGAUUAAGAACAAGAGUUUUGGCAUCAAGCAAGCCUAGAUUAACUAUUGACUUUUGUCAAGUUACUAAACACUCCUCGAAACCUCAACCUCUACAUCCAAAAAUGUGAUAAAUGGGGUGCUUCAUAUAAAGCCCUUUGAAGUGGUUGGCACAUAAUAAACUCAUGAUAGAUGGACUUUAUUAUGAGCAGUGGAUUUUAUAGGACAUUUGCUUGCCUUAUUGCAUACAAAAAUCUGCUUCCAUGAAAUACAAAGCAUCCAAACAAGUCAGAGUUUUUUUCCUCCCAUUUUCUGUGUUACAGAAACAGAGUAGUUUCUGCCUGAUCCCAAGCUAUUAUUUUAUUCUUGCAUGAAGACCUCUCUAUAUCUCUCUGGAGAAAUGAAUAAAGGUCCCAUUAGGGGAUUAUAUAUAUGACGAACAGUACUGUUUCCUGGAAAAAGACAUGAUGGGUGAAGAGAAAUUUGAGGCCUACUGUGUUAAAGACAAAGGUGAAAGGUCAUUCUGAAUGUGAUGCUUCCAGCAAGUCAGCCAGCCCCCAGACUGAGUUCUAGGAUAUAGCCCUUAAAUAAGAAUGAACAAAUACCAGUAAGUGGAUGGAGUUAGAGAAGAUAAUGCUAAGCGAAGCUAGCCAAUCCCAAAAAAACAAAUGCCGAAUGUUUUCUCUGAUAUAA
Molecule: non-coding RNA, 2250 nt
Organism: Ictidomys tridecemlineatus (thirteen-lined ground squirrel)
Lineage: Eukaryota; Metazoa; Chordata; Mammalia; Rodentia; Sciuridae
Source: RefSeq, a predicted model, not a curated record